CAAGAGAGGAACCUGCUCUUCCGGGAGGUCCUGAGGGACGCACCUAUAUUCCAUGUGCCCUUCGUGUUACCCUCAUGGACUCAGUUCACUCAUCUCUGGGAUCCGAGCAACCAGGCUAUCAUCCUCAGACCAAUGGCUAAACAGAACACAAGAAUCAGGAAAUAGGACGUUACCUGCAGUCAUACUGUCACAAUCAUCAACACAGCUGGAACCGUUUCCUACCAUGGGUGGAGAAUGCACAAAACUCCCUUCGACAAACCACCAUGGGGCUCACUCCUUUUCAGUGCAUACUCAACUAUCAGCUGCCCCUGUAUCCCUGCUCAGGACCUGGUUUUACAGAGGUACUUCCUUCUCUGGUAGAAGCAGAAGACAAUCAAAUCUACACUGUCCAAUCCAUCUUAGUCUCCCAGUAAUGAGGUAAUCACUUAGAAUAUCUCGUGGACUGAAUAGGAUAUGGGCCCGAAGAAAGAUUAUGGAUUCCCCACGAUGACAUUCUGGAUCCCACUUUACUCACCAAAUUCCAUAACAACCAUCUGAAAUGUCCAGCACCCUGAGGCAGAGGUCAUCCUCAUUGCCGGGUUCGGACAUCUGGAGCUGCCCGUGGUGGGGGAGGUACUGUCACAGAUUCAGCCAGCAUACCAUCAACUCCAAGUCCUUCAGCUCCACAUACCCUUUCACAAUCACCUGAGUAUUAACCUGCCACACCUGUCACAUCCUAAUCAAGAACCCCUCAUAAGCACACCGCUUUCACUUACCUGUUGUCCAGUCUUGUCAGCCUUAGUGUGAGAGUUUAUUUAACUGACUUCCUUCAUGGUUAGUCCUCUACUUAAGCGUCUUCCGAAUCACGGGUUCCAGCCAUCCGGGGUUCUCCUGUGCUCUCCAUGCUUCAUCCCACAAAAAGGGAAAGGCUCUUCAGUUAAGUGUGAUUAUCCUUAUUGAACUGUUUGUGCCAUUCACUUACCUGCUGAAGGCUAUAAAAAGGACUGCUGAUGCCAUAUACUUACC
Ictalurus punctatus (channel catfish) is the source of this 1005-nucleotide long non-coding RNA. The record is from Ensembl. NCBI's taxonomy places the organism in Eukaryota, Metazoa, Chordata, Actinopteri, Siluriformes, Ictaluridae.